UGAGGAAUAUUGGUCAAUGGGCGCAAGCCUGAACCAGCCAUGCCGCGUGCAGGAUGAAGCAUCUAUGGUGUGUAAACUGCUUUUGUACAGGAAGAAACACUCGGUCGUGACCGAGCUUGACGGUACUGUAAGAAUAAGGACCGGCUAACUCCGUGCCAGCAGCCGCGGUAAUACGGAGGGUCCAAGCGUUAUCCGGAAUCAUUGGGUUUAAAGGGUCCGUAGGCGGUUUAGUAAGUCAGUGGUGAAAGCCCAUCGCUCAACGGUGGAACGGCCAUUGAUACUGCUAGACUUGAAUUGUUGGGAAGUAACUAGAAUAUGUAGUGUAGCGGUGAAAUGCUUAGAUAUUACAUGGAAUACCAAUUGCGAAGGCAGGUUACUAUCAACACAUUGACGCUGAUGGACGAAAGCGUGGGUAGCGAACA
Molecule: ribosomal RNA, 422 nt
Filed under: uncultured bacterium
Lineage: Bacteria
Description: bacterial SSU rRNA
Rfam family: Bacterial small subunit ribosomal RNA
Source: RNAcentral